UACGGAAGGUCCGGGCGUUAUCCGGAUUUAUUGGGUUUAAAGGGAGCGUAGGCCGUCUGGUAAGCGUGUUGUGAAAUGUCGGGGCUCAACCUGGGCAUUGCAGCGCGAACUGUCAGACUUGAGUGCGCGGGAAGUAGGCGGAAUUCGUCGUGUAGCGGUGAAAUGCUUAGAUAUGACGAAGAACUCCGAUUGCGAAGGCAGCCUGCUGUAGCGCAACUGACGCUGAAGCUCGAAAGCGUGGGUAUCGAACAGG
Molecule: ribosomal RNA, 253 nt
Filed under: Leyella stercorea DSM 18206
Lineage: Bacteria; Pseudomonadati; Bacteroidota; Bacteroidia; Bacteroidales; Prevotellaceae
Description: Prevotella stercorea DSM 18206 partial 16S ribosomal RNA
Rfam family: Bacterial small subunit ribosomal RNA
Source: RNAcentral